This 468-nucleotide ribosomal RNA is filed under the name uncultured bacterium. RNAcentral describes it as "partial 16S ribosomal RNA". It matches the Rfam family "Bacterial small subunit ribosomal RNA", at positions 28 to 507 of the family's 1533-position model. The record is from RNAcentral.
GACGAACGCUGGCGGCGUGCUUAACACAUGCAAGUCGAACGGAAAGGCCCUGCUUUUGUGGGGUGCUCGAGUGGCGAACGGGUGAGUAACACGUGAGUAACCUGCCCUUGACUUUGGGAUAACUUCAGGAAACUGGGGCUAAUACCGGAUAGGAGCUCCUGCUGCAUGGUGGGGGUUGGAAAGUUUCGGCGGUUGGGGAUGGACUCGCGGCUUAUCAGCUGGUUGGUGGGGUAGUGGCUUACCAAGGCUUUGACGGGUAGCCGGCCUGAGAGGGUGACCGGGCACAUUGGGACUGAGAGACGGCCCAGACUGCUACGGGAGGCAGCAGUGGGGAAUAUUGCACAAUGGGCGGAAGCCUGAUGCAGCAACGCCGCGUGCGGGAUGACGGCCUUCGGGUUGUAAACCGCUUUCGCCUGUGACGAAGCGUGAGUGACGGUAAUGGGUAAAGAAGCACCGGCUAACUACGUG